GGAUUGUUUGUCAGCAUGGUUUGCGUGAUCGUACCUCGCCUGGGGCGUCUCGAUGGUGUCGACACCGAGCCUGAUACCCUACGGUGCCGCGGGUUCGAUUCCCGCACGCUCCA
RNAcentral lists this transfer RNA (113 nucleotides) under bacterium. RNAcentral's name for it is "tRNA-Ile". The record is from RNAcentral.